RNAcentral lists this ribosomal RNA (560 nucleotides) under uncultured bacterium. RNAcentral describes it as "bacterial SSU rRNA". It matches the Rfam family "Bacterial small subunit ribosomal RNA", at positions 338 to 916 of the family's 1533-position model. The record is from RNAcentral.
CCUACGGGAGGCAGCAGUAGGGAAUCUUGGACAAUGGGGGCAACCCUGAUCCAGCCAUGCCGCGUGAGUGAUGAAGGCCCUAGGGUCGUAAAGCUCUUUCGCCUGUGAUGAUAAUGACAGUAGCAGGUAAAGAAACCCCGGCUAACUCCGUGCCAGCAGCCGCGGUAAUACGGAGGGGGUUAGCGUUGUUCGGAAUUACUGGGCGUAAAGCGCGCGUAGGCGGAUUGGAAAGUUAGAGGUGAAAUCCCGGGGCUCAACCCCGGAACUGCCUUUAAAACUCCCAGUCUAGAGUUCGAGAGAGGUGAGUGGAAUUCCAAGUGUAGAGGUGAAAUUCGUAGAUAUUUGGAGGAACACCAGUGGCGAAGGCGGCUCACUGGCUCGAUACUGACGCUGAGGUGCGAAAGUGUGGGGAGCAAACAGGAUUAGAUACCCUGGUAGUCCACACCGUAAACGAUGAAUGCCAGUCGUCGGGUAGUAUACUAUUCGGUGACACACCUAACGGAUUAAGCAUUCCGCCUGGGGAGUACGGUCGCAAGAUUAAAACUCAAAUGAAUUGACGG